UUUCUUUCGAUUCAAAGCCACAGUGGCCACGAGACAUCGUCUCGUUAAUUGUUUCCUCAGGCGAUUGCUUGUCUUCUAACACUACUGAUGACAUUAAUAACUCUCUCCGACAACCUUAAGUGAUUCAUAAAGUGGAAGCUCAAUUCAUUCAUUUUUUUAAAGAUAAUCGUAGUUGGAUUCAAAAGCAUGGCAGAAAUUAGAAGGGCGUUUAUUGUUUCUAAAGUUGGGAUACAGUCAUGAAAUUGAAUUAUCAGUGCCUCCUGCUGUUCGUGUAUUUUGUUUCAAACCAAAUACCGUUUGUUGCACCGGAAUCGACAAGCAAAGGGUGCACCAAUUUGUUGUCGCCGUUCUAGCUAUUAGUCACUGGAGGAUUACAAAGGCAAAGGUAACUCUUCUUCAUGUUAAUGAAUAUCUUACACUCAUUGGAUGAGAAGAUUUUUCCAACUACAUAUUAUGGCAAACUGGAUUCUCGUCUAGGGAAACUUUGUCUAAAGGUAUAUUGUGAUCAACCUGCCACCAACUUGUGAUGUCUUCAAUAAUCUGUCGUUACUUUUUUUUUCUACCGUGAAUCAUGGCAAUAUUCCUUCAGGUAUUUUAGGAUAUAAGAUAAUAUCCUUCAAAUAAGGAACACUAAAAUGCAGAUAUGUAGGAAUUGAAUGUCGAUUGAUGCACUGAUUUAGUGGGCGGGAAAAGUAGAGAGUAUAAUGUUGGAGAGAAUGCCACGUGGUAGAAGGGUGGUGUAAAAGAAGGAUAUGUGGCACCUUAGAGAGAUUUUUAUUAGGAAGAUAGAUAUCAUAAAAUACAUGUUGAAUAAUGUUCUCUUAGAUAGAAAUAUAGACUGUCUUAACAUAAAAGAGAAAGAUGACAUAAAGAUACAUACAUGUUAAAAAAGGUAAUUGCUCUAACUGAUAAUAGCUUAAAGAUUGAUUUACCAAAAGCUCAUGAGAAGUAAUUAUCAGUAUCACUUCAUCAUCUUGUGAUUAUAAAAAGAUCCAUAACACAUAAAAUUAAAAAAAUUGUCUCAAGUAUACCUUUAAACACAUACCCAAAUUGGUUAAUAUAUAAAACUUUGCAUGCACCAAUAUUUACAUUUACUUUGCAUUUACAUUUGGAAAAGUUGUAAUUUUUCUCUUACAUCCAUGAAACCAUUCGCAUAACUCUUCAAACUUUACCGAUAUAAUCUAUCACUUUGUGUUGACAUAUAUGCAAUAUGCAAGCUACAAUGUUCUUAUAUAGGCCAAAUAUUUCAUUUAACCCAUUAAUUAAAUAAUACGAUUUGAAGAGUUUUGGAAGUUACAAAUCACAACAUUUCAAUUAAUCAUAAAUUAAAUUAUAUAAGAUGAAUAGUCUUGGUAGUUUCAAAUGCAUGAGGUUGGUUGAAGAUUGCCUUGAACUCGGUGAGUCUAUUAGUGGACUCGGCGAGUUAGGUCGCGAAACCCCAAACCCUUCGAGUUGAGACUCGAAUCAGUGAGUCGGGUGGUGACUCAGCGAGUUGGUCAGGAUAGGACUUGGAACUAGUUGGACUCGGCGAUUCAUAGACUGACUCGGCAAGUCGAGUCGCGAAUAGAAAGACCCUGAGCAUAUGAACUCGGCGAGUCAUUAGGAGGACUCAGCGAGUAGGGUUGACCUGGAAGGUUGGCUUUGACCAGGAUUUUGACCUUGACCAGAGUUGACCUAGUUGACCUUUGGAGGUCAGUUGGACUAAGUGUUAUAUGGAUACUGACAGCUCGGAGAGCUAGAGGAACAGCGGUUCAGGAGAUUGUCGAGUAGCAGCCAGAGGUUUAUUAGCAGAGCUCAGCAGUUCAGGUACUCGGUUUUCAAAAGAGGAGCUCGGGAAGAUUGCGGUGCACACACCAUAGUCAGUUAGCCUGGGAACGUUUGACUCUGAUGAUGAUGUUAUGUUUUGAUUUAAUACUCGAGAAAUUAUGUUAUGACUUAUGAAACGGUUUUUUUUAUAAAUAUGAAUUUAGUAAUGUUUUAA
Long non-coding RNA from Lactuca sativa (garden lettuce), 1981 nucleotides. RefSeq lists it as uncharacterized. The record is from RefSeq and is a predicted model, not a curated record. NCBI's taxonomy places the organism in Eukaryota, Viridiplantae, Streptophyta, Magnoliopsida, Asterales, Asteraceae.